This 455-nucleotide ribosomal RNA is filed under the name uncultured bacterium. Its description in RNAcentral is "bacterial SSU rRNA". It matches the Rfam family "Bacterial small subunit ribosomal RNA", at positions 340 to 786 of the family's 1533-position model. The record is from RNAcentral.
UACGGGAGGAGCAGUGGGGAAUAUUGCACAAUGGGCGCAAGCCUGAUGCAGCCAUGCCGCGUGUAUGAAGAAGGCCUUCGGGUUGUAAAGUACUUUCAGUCGUGAGGAAGGUGUUAAGGUUAAUAACCUUAGCAAUUGACGUUAGCGACAGAAGAAGCACCGGCUAACUCCGUGCCGGCAGCCGCGGUAAUACGGAGGGUGCGAGCGUUAAUCGGGAAUUACUGGGCGUAAAGGGCACGCAGGCGGUUAAUUAAGUUGGAUGUGAAAUCCCCGGGCUUAACCUGGGAAUGGCAUUCAAGACUGGUUAGCUAGAGUCUUGUAGAGGGGGUAGAAUUCCGAUGUGUAGCGGUGAAAUGCGUAGAGAUGUGGAGGAAUACCGGUGGCGAAGGCGGCCCCUGGACAAAGACUGACGCUCAUGUGCGAAAGCGUGGGGAGCAAACAGGGACUUAGAUACC